GAUGAACGCUGGCGGCGUGCCUAAUACAUGCAAGUCGAGCGAACAGAUGAGGAGCUUGCUCCUCUGACGUUAGCGGCGGUCGGGUGAGUAACACGUGGAUAACCUACCUAUAAGACUGGGAUAACUUCGGGAAACCGGAGCUAAUACCGGAUAAUAUAUUGAACCGCAUGGUUCAAUAGUGAAAGACGGUUUUGCUGUCACUUAUAGAUGGAUCCGCGCCGCAUUAGCUAGUUGGUAAGGUAACGGCUUACCAAGGCGACGAUGCGUAGCCGACCUGAGAGGGUGAUCGGCCACACUGGAACUGAGACACGGUCCAGACUCCUACGGGAGGCAGCAGUAGGGAAUCUUCCGCAAUGGGCGAAAGCCUGACGGAGCAACGCCGCGUGAGUGAUGAAGGUCUUCGGAUCGUAAAACUCUGUUAUUAGGGAAGAACAAAUGUGUAAGUAACUAUGCACGUCUUGACGGUACCUAAUCAGAAAGCCACGGCUAACUACGUG
This 497-nucleotide ribosomal RNA is filed under the name uncultured bacterium. RNAcentral describes it as "partial 16S ribosomal RNA". It matches the Rfam family "Bacterial small subunit ribosomal RNA", at positions 28 to 507 of the family's 1533-position model. The record is from RNAcentral.